GAGUUAAACCAAUUACAUAAAUUAUUCAAAUUAAUACUUGUAUACUUUUAAAAAGUAAUUUUCAUAAAAUAAUGUUUUGUUUGUUUCGAUGCUUGAUUAUUUUUCAUUAAUAAUAAUAUUUAAUAAUCAAAAUAUUUAAUCUGGCAACCCCUUUUAAAAAUAAAACAAAGCAGAUGUAUAACAGUUACUACCUGACUCAGGACAGAGACAACAAUAUAAUAAAAGAAAUCAAAAAAAUCAGCCACAAUGGAAAAUCGAUAAUGCUAGAACGGGGUGGUGGAAAUUUCCUGAACAUUCUCUGCAUGUGGUAGUGAACACGUACGCCACGGGUAUAAAUACGACUGCCUAGCGACCAGCAAUAUCAUUCGUAAAGAAAAAGUCAACUAGUGUGUGUCUACAGAGAAAUAAAAGUGGAAAAAGUUAAAAGUGUACAGAUUAAUUAAAGUGAAACAAAAUUAAUUUGAAAAGUGUAUUUUGCUGGUGUAAAAGUGUGUGUUGCCAUUGAAUAGCAGAAAAAAUGGCUUUGCGUUGCAAAUUAUUGCGAAAUGAGCAUUUUUGCUCCACAAAUAGUAGGCUGAAAUGAAAUUAGACGCCAACAGAAAAUGCAGUAGAGCAUUUAUAAAAUUGAAAGAUGAAAAAGAAAUUAAAAAGCUAAGCUGGCACCACCCAAGGCUUGAGAAUUUUAUAGAAAAAAAUCUUGCGGAAUUUGCUGAAGAGGUUUUAUUAUCCUAGCGGACGUCGUCAAGUAAAAGAAUAUUGAGGUUGCUUACUAAAAAUGAAAGAAAAAAAGGUUAUAAAGGACCCAGCGUUUUAAGGAAGUUUUUGUGCUACAUGGGCCAGUAGAGAAGAGAUCUUUUUAAAAGUGUGUGUACAUAUAGUACUAGAGCAGGUUUAUAGAGUUGUGCCACGGAAAAAAUGGUUCUUUCCCCACUGACUAGCAAAUUUUAUGUCCGUUUGGGCGGCCUUUUCUCGUAAAACAUUAAAUGAUUUUGCUUAAGUCAGUCUCGUCGUCGUCUCUCGUAUCUCGUUUGAAAUUACAAAAAAAAUAAAAUAAAAGAACAAAAAUAACAACAGUAAAACAAACCCUAACAACAACUAUACAAACCAAUAAAAAAACAAAAACUAGAAAAAAAAGGUUUAAAAAAAGCGAUAUUAAAGCGUUAAAAAAGCGUUUAACACACACAAUCUGUAUUGUUGAGUAUACCCUUUGCUAAGCGUUAUAAAAACAAAGCGAAAAUAUACUUUAUGAUAAAAUUAGAGAAAAAAAACUAAGAAAAUUAAAAGAAAAAAACGGAGCGAGAAGACAGAAGACAGGCAGGCAGGUCGGCAUAAAUAAAUAAAUGUUUCUAAGAGAAAAAUCAGGCAGGCAGGCAGUAUGUAAAAGAGUUCGUUCGUUCGUAAGUCAGACAAAUCAUACGAUGAUGUUAACGAAACAAUGAGAAGACUACUACUACUUGCUAGACCAAAUAUUCAAAAAUUAAACAACGGCCAAAAAUUAAAACUAAAUGUAUGUUUUAAACGCCCAAUGA
Molecule: long non-coding RNA, 1529 nt
Organism: Lucilia cuprina (Australian sheep blowfly)
Lineage: Eukaryota; Metazoa; Arthropoda; Insecta; Diptera; Calliphoridae
Exons: 2
Source: RefSeq, a predicted model, not a curated record